Molecule: ribosomal RNA, 356 nt
Filed under: uncultured bacterium
Lineage: Bacteria
Description: partial 16S ribosomal RNA
Rfam family: Bacterial small subunit ribosomal RNA
Source: RNAcentral
CCUACGGGAGACAGCAGUCGGGAAUAUUGCUCAAUGGAGGAAACUCUGACGCAGUGACGCCGCGUGCAGGAAGAAGGUUUUCGGAUUGUUAACUUCUUUAUACAUGGAAGAAAAAAGACAUUACCUGUAGAUUAAGCUCCUGCUAACUACGUGCCAGCAGCCGCGGUAAUACGGAGGGAGCAAGCGUUAUCCGGAGUUAUUGGGUUUAAAGGGUGCUUAGAGGGAGAAGCAAGUUAGUUGUGAAAUCCCGCGGCUUAACUGAGGAACUGCAACUAAAACUACUUCCCUUGAGUACUGGAGAGGAAAGUGGAAUUCCUAGUGUAGCGGUGAAAUGCGUAGAUAUUAGGAGGAACACC